CCUACGGGAGGCUGCAGUAGAGAAUCAUUCACAAUGGGGGAAACCCUGAUGGUGCGACGCCGCGUGGGGGAAUGAAGGUCUUCGGAUUGUAAACCUCUGUCAUGUGGGAGCAAAUUAAAAAGAUAGUACCACAAGAGGAAGAGACGGCUAACUCUGUGCCAGCAGCCGCGGUAAUACAGAGGUCUCAAGCGUUGUUCGGAAUCACUGGGCGUAAAGGGUGCGUAGGCUGUUUCGUAAGUCGUGUGUGAAAGGCGCGGGCUCAACCCGCGGACGGCACAUGAUACUGGGAGACUAGAGUAAUGGAGGGGGAACCGGAAUUCUCGGUGUAGCAGUGAAAUGCGUAGAUAUCGAGAGGAACACUCGUGGCGAAGGCGGGUUCCUGGACAUUAACUGACGCUGAGGCACGAAGGCCAGGGGAGCGAAAGGGAUUAGAUACCCCAGUAGUC
This 446-nucleotide ribosomal RNA is filed under the name uncultured bacterium. RNAcentral describes it as "partial 16S ribosomal RNA". It matches the Rfam family "Bacterial small subunit ribosomal RNA", at positions 338 to 795 of the family's 1533-position model. The record is from RNAcentral.